GACGAACGCUGGCGGCGCGCCUAACACAUGCAAGUCGAACGGAGUUGUGUUGAAAGCUUGCUGGAUAUACAACUUAGUGGCGGACGGGUGAGUAACACGUGAGUAACCUGCCUCUCAGAGUGGAAUAACGUUUGGAAACGAACGCUAAUACCGCAUAACGUGAGAAGAGGGCAUCCUCUUUUACCAAAGAUUUAUCGCUGAGAGAUGGGCUCGCGGCCGAUUAGGUAGUUGGUGAGAUAACAGCCCACCAAGCCGACGAUCGGUAGCCGGACUGAGAGGUUGAUCGGCCACAUUGGGACUGAGACACGGCCCAG
RNAcentral lists this ribosomal RNA (314 nucleotides) under uncultured bacterium. RNAcentral's name for it is "bacterial SSU rRNA". It matches the Rfam family "Bacterial small subunit ribosomal RNA", at positions 28 to 334 of the family's 1533-position model. The record is from RNAcentral.